RNAcentral lists this unclassified non-coding RNA (240 nucleotides) under soil metagenome. RNAcentral describes it as "partial contains 5.8S ribosomal RNA, internal transcribed spacer 2, and large subunit ribosomal RNA". The record is from RNAcentral.
AACAAGGCGUACCUGCGGACCUGCGGAGGGAUCAUUACCAAUUCAACGGUGUGGUCGCGGCCUCCGGGGGCUCCCCCCGGGCGGUAGAGGUAACACUCUUACGCGCCACAUGUCUGAAUCCUUUUUUUACGAGCACCUUUCGUUCUCCUUCGGUGGGGCAACCUGCCGUUGGAACUUAUUAAAACCUUUUUUUGCAUCUAGCAUUACCUGUUCAGAUACAAACAAUCGUUACAACUUUCA